AUGUCCUACGGGACGCAGCAGUGAGGAAUAUUGGUCAAUGGGCGCGAGCCUGAACCAGCCAAGUCGCGUGAGGGAUGACGGUCCUACGGAUUGUAAACCUCUUUUGCCGGGGAGCAAGCGUGCGUUCGUGAACGCACGUCGAGAGUACCCGGAGAAAAAGCAUCGGCUAACUCCGUGCCAGCAGCCGCGGUAAUACGUAGGUGGCAAGCGUUGUCCGGAUUUACUGGGUGUAAAGGGCGUGUAGCCGGGUUGACAAGUCAGAUGUGAAAUCCUGCGGCUUAACCGCAGAACUGCAUUUGAAACUG
This 305-nucleotide ribosomal RNA is filed under the name uncultured bacterium. RNAcentral's name for it is "bacterial SSU rRNA". It matches the Rfam family "Bacterial small subunit ribosomal RNA", at positions 334 to 635 of the family's 1533-position model. The record is from RNAcentral.